UACGUAGGUGGCAAGCGUUGUCCGGAUUUAUUGGGUUUAAAGGGUGCGUAGGCGGUCUUUUUAAGUCAGUGCUGAAAUAUCCCGGCUUAACCGGGAGGGUGGCAUUGAUACUGAAGGACUUGAGUACAGUCGAGGUAGGCGGAAUUGACGGUGUAGCGGUGAAAUGCUUAGAUAUCGUCAAGAACACCGAUAGUGUAGACAGCUUACUAGGCUGAAAACUGACGCUGAGGCACGAAAGUGUGGGGGAUCAAAACAGG
Molecule: ribosomal RNA, 257 nt
Filed under: uncultured bacterium
Lineage: Bacteria
Description: partial 16S ribosomal RNA
Rfam family: Bacterial small subunit ribosomal RNA
Source: RNAcentral